AUUGAACGCUGGCGGCAGGCUUAACACAUGCAAGUCGAGCGGAGAUGAGGUGCUUGCACCUUAUCUUAGCGGCGGACGGGUGAGUAAUGCUUAGGAAUCUGCCUAUUAGUGGGGGACAACAUUCCGAAAGGAAUGCUAAUACCGCAUACGUCCUACGGGAGAAAGCAGGGGAUCUUCGGACCUUGCGCUAAUAGAUGAGCCUAAGUCGGAUUAGCUAGUUGGUGGGGUAAAGGCCUACCAAGGCGAUGAUCUGUAGCGGGUCUGAGAGGAUGAUCCGCCACACUGGGACUGGAACACGGCCCAGACUCCUACGGGAGGCAGCAGUGGGGAAUAUUGGACAAGGGGGGGAACCCUGAUCCAGCCAUGCCGCGUGUGUGAAGAAGGCCUUAUGGUUGUAAAGCACUUUAAGCGAGGAGGAGGCUACUGAGACUAAUACUCUUGGAUAGUGGACGUUACUCGCAGAAUAAGCACCGGCUAACUCUGUGCCAGCAGCCGCAGUAA
Molecule: ribosomal RNA, 501 nt
Filed under: uncultured bacterium
Lineage: Bacteria
Description: partial 16S ribosomal RNA
Rfam family: Bacterial small subunit ribosomal RNA
Source: RNAcentral